GUUUGGGGAGCUUGUCGCUAGUCGAGGACUUAAUGCUGAAGAGGGGUCUAAGAAAAUCCUGACGCACACUGGUUGGGAACUGAAGCCGUUCUCCUGACGAGCCCAAGGCAGGGCGAAACCAGUCGACAUUGUGCUACUUCCACUAGGCUUACUCUCGUAGUAUGGGAUGCGGGAGUGCCGCACGGGUUCGAAACCUCUCGUCCCGUGACAAAUGGUAUCAGAGCCGCGCUUGUCAUCUCUCGAAGCCCUCCUCGCGAGCUCGCCAAGCGCUCCAAUGCCGCACCACGCAAGUCCCCACCCUUUCGGAUGCAAGGGUCGACAAGCGGGACGAACAGGCGGGUUCUCACACCCCCAAGCGUUCGCACUAAGUGGAUGGUGUCUGCACGCGGGUCCUCUCCACGGAUCGAGGACGAGUAGGCAGGGAGUUCAUGGGUUGAGAUUGGCAAGGCGAUCUUCACGUUUUCGCGCGGAAGUGCACAUUUGCGAGGCGUACUCUGCAUGCACGAGGACGUGCAUGGUUAUGGCGGUGGGAGAAUGUCACGGACCGCAAUCAUGGCACCCAAGAUAUGCGCUUGUACGCUAGUGUCGAUGAUGGUUGUGCUGAUUGUUGGAGACAUGCUUCAGGAAUGUGUGUGUGGGGAAUAUAAUGCCCUAGACUCUUUGGAGUUCAGGCAGGCCAACCCGGUUAAGUUUGGGGAGCUUGUCGCUAGUCGAGGACUUAAUGCUGAAGAGGGGUCUAAGAAAAUCCUGACGCACACUGGUUGGGAACUGAAGCCGUUCUCCUGACGAGCCCAAGGCAGGGCGAAACCAGUCGACAUUGUGCUACUUCCACUAGGCUUACUCUCGUAGUAUGGGAUGCGAGAGUGCCGCACGGGUUCGAAACCUCUCGUCCCGUGACAUUACGCUUACUUGAAGUGUAUUAAAAAUUUUCUGGGCUGUGCCAUUUCGCUUUUGAAUUUUGUCAACAAAGUCAACCGCACGCCACACGCUUCCACUAUCAUCUUCUCCUUUCAAACUUACAAUUUUUUUUUAAUUUUUUAAUUUUCUGGAAAGAGCUGGCUUUCCUUGGUUUUUACUUUUUGCCAAAAUUAUUCAUCCCUUUUUCUUUUUAUUUUUGUUUUUGGUUUUUGCUUUUGCUUUUGCUUGGGAUUCUUGGUGAUCAGGUAAAUUCAUCCCUAACUAGAAAAUAAUUCAAAUAUAGAAAAUUAUAUGUAAAAUUAUUUUCGAAACUAUUAUCUUCUCAUAAGGAAAUUUAGUUCUAAGAUAUUGAAUAAAAGAAUCCAUUUAAAAGUUACAACUCUGAAAUAUUUAAUGUUUUAACCAUUGCUAGUGACAUCCAUGACUUUAUAAUUUUGUUGGUUUUCAAAUGUUGAAGAAACCUUGUCACUUCUUACAUCACUAGCGAAGUCAUUUUCUUAUGUAAUUUAUUGUUGUAACUUCAGUGAAAUAAAUAUUCAUUUCUUGUUGUUGGAUUGUUGGCAGUAGAAGAUCAAUUAUUUAGGAACCAUUUUGUUUAAUUUUAUUAAUGUCUUAAUACCCUCCGUUUUCCUUUUAACCUCUAUUAUGUGUAUGCAUAGUUAUUUUUUAUGGCAUAAAUAAUCAAGUUUAAUUAAAGCUAAUAUUAUAAAAAUAAAAUGCUCUUGGGUCUUGGCACCUUUUUUUCCCU
Molecule: long non-coding RNA, 1666 nt
Filed under: Citrus x clementina
Lineage: Eukaryota; Viridiplantae; Streptophyta; Magnoliopsida; Sapindales; Rutaceae
Description: Citrus clementina (C. clementina) long non-coding RNA (CCLE_LNC002892)
Source: RNAcentral